Molecule: ribosomal RNA, 253 nt
Filed under: uncultured bacterium
Lineage: Bacteria
Description: partial 16S ribosomal RNA
Rfam family: Bacterial small subunit ribosomal RNA
Source: RNAcentral
GACGAACCGUGCGAACGUUGUUCGGAAUCACUGGGCUUAAAGGGCGCGUAGGCGGGCUGUCAAGUCUGGGGUGAAAUGCCGCGGCUCAACCGUGGAACUGCCUCAGAUACUGACGGCCUCGAGGGAGGUAGGGGCGUGCGGAACUGUAGGUGGAGCGGUGAAAUGCGUUGAUAUCUACAGGAACUCCGGUGGCGAAAGCGGCGCGCUGGACCUCUUCUGACGCUGAGGCGCGAAAGCCAGGGGAGCAAACGGG